This 78-nucleotide microRNA precursor is filed under the name Myotis lucifugus (little brown bat). Its description in RNAcentral is "miRNA (ENSMLUG00000025731.1)". Lineage: Eukaryota; Metazoa; Chordata; Mammalia; Chiroptera; Vespertilionidae. The record is from RNAcentral.
GCAGAGGCUCAGAGCCACAGGAGAGAUUUCUGUGGGGCAAUAACUAAUUUCCUGAGAUGGGAGCUGGACUACUUGAGA